Molecule: non-coding RNA, 2453 nt
Filed under: Engystomops petersi (Peters' dwarf frog)
Lineage: Eukaryota; Metazoa; Chordata; Amphibia; Anura; Leptodactylidae
Description: partial contains 12S ribosomal RNA, tRNA-Val, and 16S ribosomal RNA
Rfam family: Bacterial small subunit ribosomal RNA (bases 19-962)
Source: RNAcentral
UGACCCUAAAAGUUCUUUAAACACAAAGGUUUGGUCCUGACCUUAAAGUCAAUUAUUUCUUAAUAUACACAUGCAAGUAUCAGCCCUCCUGUGAAAACGCCCUUAAUUUUCCCCAUUAGGGAUAAGGAGCUGGUAUCAGGCACAAAAUAUGCCCAAAACACCUAGCUAUGCCACACCCACAAGGGAACUCAGCAGUGAUUAACAUUAAACAUAAGCGCCAGCUUGAUUUAGUUAAAGAAAAUAGAGCCGGCAAAUCUGGUGCCAGCCGCCGCGGUUACACCACGUGACUCAAAUUGAUUUAUAUCGGCGUAAAGCGUGAUUUAAGAGUAUUAAGAUUGAAAUUAAAUUUUAAUUAAGCUGUAACACGCUUGUUUUUAAGAAAACCAAACACGAAAGUUAUUUCAAUUAUCUCCACUUGAAUUCACGACAAUUAGGAUACAAACUGGGAUUAGAUACCCCACUAUGCCUAAUCGUAAACUUUAAUUUACACUAACAUCGCCAGGGAACUACGAGCAAAGCUUAAAACCCAAAGGACUUGACGGUACCCCAAAUCCACCUAGAGGAGCCUGUCCUAUAAUCGAUAACCCCCGUUAAACCUCACCACUUCUAGCUUAUCAGCCUGUAUACCUCCGUCGUCAGCUUACCUCGUGAGCGAAUCAUAGUGAGCCUAAUGCUUAUACACCAACACGUCAGGUCAAGGUGCAGUAUAUGAAGUGGGAAGAGAUGGGCUACACUUUCUAAUUUAGAACAUACGAAAAAUUAUUUAUGAAAACUAAUUUGAAGGCGGAUUUAGAAGUAAAAAGAAAUUAGUGUAUUCUUUUUAACCCGGCACUGGGGUGUGUACACACCGCCCGUCACCCUCUUCAAGGCCUAUUUAUAGUAUUUAACUAAAUUUGCUAUUCAGAAGAGGCAAGUCGUAACAUGGUAAGUGUACCGGAAGGUGUGCUUGGAAACAAAACGUAGCUUAAUUAAAGCAUCUUGCUUACACCAAGAAAAUGUAUGUGAAAACCAUACCGUCUUGAGCUAAAAACUUAGCCUUACCCUACAAUUAUAUUUACCCUAUUUUACUUACACAAAAUAAAACAUUCUUUAAGCUUAGUAAAGGAGAUAAAAAAGUUUUUUAGAGCUAUAAAAUAAGUACCGCAAGGGAAAAAUGAAAUAAAAAUGAAACAAAAUUCAAGCAUAAUAUAGUAGAGUUUUCCCCUCGUACCUUUUGCAUCAUGAUUCAACUAGUUUAACCACGCAAAAAGAAUUUAAGUUUGACUUCCCGAAACUAAGUGAGCUACUUCAGGGCAGCUAAAUGAGCCAACCCGUCUCUGUUGCAAAAGAGUGGGAUGACCCUUAAGUAGAGGUGAUAAACCUAACGAACUUAGUGAUAGCUGGUUAUUCAGAAAAAGAAUUUUAGUUCAACUUAAAAUUACAUAAAUAAAAUAAAAUAAAAUUUUAAUUUUAAAGCAAUUCAAAUAAGGUACAGCCUAUUUGAAAUAGAAUACAAUCUAAACUAUAGGGUAAAUAUAAAAAAUUAAUGUAAUAAAGUAGGCCUAAAAGCAGCCAACUUUAAAAUAGCGUCAAAGCUUACUUCCAUAAUUUUUUAAUACUAUUAUUUACAAUGAACCCUUUAUUUUUACUGAAUAUUUCUAUAAAGUUAUAGAACCUUUUAUGUUGAAACUAGUAACAAGAAGUUAAACUUCUCCUCAAUAUAAGUAUAAGUCGACUAGGAUAAACCAUCGACAAUUAACGCUUAAAUUAAAUGUAUUAACUCCACAAGAAAAACUUACAUUACCCCACGUUAAUCUUACACGAGAACAUUUAAGGAAAGAUUUAAAAAAAAGGAAGGAACUCGGCAAACAUUAACCCCGCCUGUUUACCAAAAACAUCGCCUUCUGAUAUAUUAUAGAAGGUCCAGCCUGCCCAGUGAAUUAAUUUAACGGCCGCGGUAUCCUAACCGUGCGAAGGUAGCGUAAUCACUUGUUCUUUAAAUGAGGACUAGUAUGAAUGGCACCACGAAGGUUAUACUGUCUCCCUUUUUUGAUCAGUUAAACUAAUCUUCACGUGAAGAAGCGUGAAUAAACAUAUAAGACGAGAAGACCCUAUGGAGCUUAAAAUUACACAACAAUUGUUAAAAAAAAUCCUAAAUUUUAUAAAUAAUUUUUUACUAAACACCAUGAUUGCUAAUUUUUGGUUGGGGUGACCGCGGAGUAAAAAUUAACCUCCACAAUGAAAGAAAUCAAUAUUCUAAACUAAGAGCUACAACUCAAAGUAUUAAUAUUUUAACAUUCUUUGAUCCAAUAUUUGAUCAACGAACAAAGUUACCCUAGGGAUAACAGCGCAAUCUACUUUGAGAGCUCCUAUCGACAAGUAGGUUUACGACCUCGAUGUUGGAUCAGGGUAUCCUAGUGGUGCAGCCGCUACUAAUGGUUCGUUUGUUCAACGAUUAAAACCCUACGUGACUG